This 163-nucleotide ribosomal RNA is filed under the name uncultured bacterium. Its description in RNAcentral is "partial 16S ribosomal RNA". It matches the Rfam family "Bacterial small subunit ribosomal RNA", at positions 1337 to 1500 of the family's 1533-position model. The record is from RNAcentral.
AGUAAUCGCGGAUCAGCAUGCCGCGGUGAAUACGUUCCCGGGCCUUGUACACACCGCCCGUCACACCAUGAGAGUUGGGAAUACCCGAAGCCUGUGAGCUAACUUUUAGAGGCAGCAGUCGAAGGUAGAAUCAAUGAUUGGGGUGAAGUCGUAACAAGGUACC